This 116-nucleotide non-coding RNA is filed under the name Knoellia subterranea. RNAcentral describes it as "SAM-IV sequence". It matches the Rfam family "SAM (S-adenosyl methionine) riboswitch aptamer". Rfam says of the family: SAM-IV is a mRNA element that regulates gene expression via direct sensing of S-adenosylmethionine (SAM or AdoMet). Lineage: Bacteria; Bacillati; Actinomycetota; Actinomycetes; Micrococcales; Intrasporangiaceae. The record is from RNAcentral. RNAcentral also lists the same sequence under 1 other name.
GGUCACGAGUACCAGCGCAUAGCCCCGGCUUGCUGGUCGGCAACCCUCCUCCGCGGUGGGGUGCUCCGGGUGACGACCUGGUCGUCUGCAACGAACGCAGUCGGCAAGCGCGGACU